Molecule: long non-coding RNA, 669 nt
Organism: Clupea harengus (Atlantic herring)
Lineage: Eukaryota; Metazoa; Chordata; Actinopteri; Clupeiformes; Clupeidae
Source: Ensembl
CAAAGUCUGGGGGGCAAUUGGACUGCUGCAUCACAUUGAAACGUAUCAUGUUUUUCUACCUACCGCUCCUCCUACAGCAUCACCGGUGAAUCAUCAAUCAUCUUCAAAGGCACCACACACAUCCACACCACAGGCACCACACACAUCCACAUCUCAGGCACCACACACAUCCACACCACAGGCACCACACACAUCCACAUCUCAGGCACCACACACAUACACACCACAGGCACCACACACAUACACACCACAGGCACCACACACAUACACACCACAGGCACCACACACAUACACACCACAGGCACCACACACAUACACACCACAGGCACCACACACAUCCACAUCUCAGGCACCACACACAUACACACCACAGGCACCACACACAUCCACAUCACAGGCACAACACACAUACACACCACAGGCACCACACACAUCACAGGCACCCCAAAGAUGCAUUGCUCUGAGGCCUCCUGAAGUGGAUUGGGUGAGUUUUCUUCCCAAGCAGUUCGGGAAACUUAUAAAGCCAGCAGACCAGGAGUGGAUCUCCCAGUGUUUAUAUGAGCGCACUGGACAGCUCAGGCAAGAUCUCGCCCAGAACUGGUUCCAUCCACCAAGCCCAUGUAAGCCCACAACAUCACCUCCCAAUCCACACAGCUAUUUCAGGCAGCG